RNAcentral lists this transfer RNA (84 nucleotides) under Chitinophagales bacterium. RNAcentral describes it as "tRNA-Leu". It matches the Rfam family "tRNA". Rfam says of the family: Transfer RNA (tRNA) molecules are approximately 80 nucleotides in length. Their secondary structure includes four short double-helical elements and three loops (D, anti-codon, and T loops). Further hydrogen bonds mediate the characteristic L-shaped molecular structure. tRNAs have two regions of fundamental functional importance: the anti-codon, which is responsible for specific mRNA codon recognition, and the 3' end, to which the tRNAs corresponding amino acid is attached (by aminoacyl-tRNA synthetases). tRNAs cope with the degeneracy of the genetic code in two manners: having more than one tRNA (with a specific anti-codon) for a particular amino acid; and 'wobble' base-pairing, i.e. permitting non-standard base-pairing at the 3rd anti-codon position. Lineage: Bacteria; Pseudomonadati; Bacteroidota; Chitinophagia; Chitinophagales. The record is from RNAcentral.
GCCGAAGUGGUGAAAUUGGUAGACACGCUGUGUUCAGGGCGCAGUGCCCGCAAGGGCAUGAGAGUUCGAGUCUCUCCUUCGGCA